Molecule: unclassified non-coding RNA, 145 nt
Filed under: uncultured Hyaloscyphaceae
Lineage: Eukaryota; Fungi; Ascomycota; Leotiomycetes; Helotiales
Description: sequence contains ITS2
Source: RNAcentral
CAACCCUCAAGCAAUGCUUGGUAUUGGGCUCCGCUGCUCACCUAGCGGGCCUUAAAAUCAGUGGCGGUGCCGUCGGGCCCUGAGCGCAGUAAAUAUCCUCGCUACAGGGACUCGGUGGACACUAGCCAUCAACCCAAGACUCUAA